AUUGAACGCUGGCGGCAGGCCUAACCCAUUCAAGUCGAACGAGUGGCGGACGGGUGAGUAAUGUCUGGGAAACUGCCUGAUAGAGGGGGAUAACUACUGGAAACGGUCGCUAAUACCGCAUACCAUCGGAUGUGCCCAGAUGGGAUGAGCUAGUAGGUGGGGUAACGGCUCACUGAGGCGACGAUCCCUAGCUGGUCUGAGAGGAUGACCAGCCACACUGGAACUGAGACACUGUCCAGACUCCUACGGGAGGCAGCAGUGGGGAAUAUUGCACAAUGGGCGCAAGCCGGAUGCAGCCAUGCCGCGUGUAUGAAGAAGGCCGUCGGGUUGUAAAGUACUUUCAGCGGGGAUGCGUUACCCGCAGAAGAAGCACCGGCUAACUCCGUGCCAGCAGCCGCGGUAAUUC
RNAcentral lists this ribosomal RNA (406 nucleotides) under uncultured bacterium. Its description in RNAcentral is "partial 16S ribosomal RNA". It matches the Rfam family "Bacterial small subunit ribosomal RNA", at positions 30 to 526 of the family's 1533-position model. The record is from RNAcentral.